UUCACAAAUGAAAGGAAGAAGAGGCUCCCGAGAGCCUUAUUUAAGAAAAGAGGGGGAGUUUCUUAAUUUUUUUUUUUCCUCAAGGUUUUUCAUACAAAACUCAUGAUCUACAGAGAUCUAACCGUCCAAACUCAAAUCUGUCUUCGGUAACGUGAUCUACAAAGCCUGAUCUACGUUUCUACCGAUCGUUUUCAGGUAAUGAGUUACUUGAAACUUGCUUGAAGUUACCCAAACCAUGAGUUUUGGUUUGGUGAAAUUUUGCAACCCCCACAACCGUGCAGACAUUGAUGCUUUGGUUGCAGGUUCUGCGGAUAUAGAUAAUGACUCGUCCACCUAGCGUAUGGGAUGCUAUGAUUGGAGUACAUCGCGACAGUCAUAAGUCACAGACUCAUGGAUAGUCUGCACUUGGGUAUUUUAUUUAUGGCUCGUGUCCUACGUGGCAUAUGUAUUUGUUGAGCCUAUACUUUAGUGUGUAGUUAAUGUAAUGUGUUUUAUAAGCCUUAAAUAGAUAGACUUGUAAGUGGCUCUUGUUGUAAUUAUUUGUUAGGUAUUAGAUGUAUUUCCGCUUAUGAUAUAUGUGUUCCGCUGCACAUUGAUUAUUAUAUUUCUCUGUUAGAUGUAACUCUGAAUAUCAGGUGCAUGCUAUGGUGCAUGUGCCAUAUGUUGGCUGAGUGACGUGUAGUAGUGCCACUGUGAAGAUCCGUUUGUAUGUUUUCAAAAAUGAAAAAAAAAAAAAAAAAAAAAAGGGUCGUCACACUUAGAGCUUAGAGAGUAUAAUUUAGGAGUUAUUGUGCUGAUCAGUUUGCUGUCAAGCGAUUGCCGAAGUGCUGUUGGUGUGCUCGUGUUGAAGUCUAUCUUAGGGAGGAGCCAUAAGGUAAAAGAUUCCAUUGAAGACCCCUUCAAGUAGGUGACUUGGUUGGGAGGCGUUCGCGUUGGGUUACACAUCAGAACUUUAGGUACGACCACUGCAUCAGGGGUAUAUGAGUGUUACUGCUUUGUAACUAGCUUUAUCUUCUGAAUAGUGGAAAUCCUGGGUUUGGCUGCUUCGGAGUGGUUUUUUUCUUUAUUGAAUUUUCAUUUCGUUAACAAAAUAUAUGUCUCAUUUAUA
Long non-coding RNA from Alnus glutinosa, 1108 nucleotides. RefSeq lists it as uncharacterized. The record is from RefSeq and is a predicted model, not a curated record. The transcript is spliced from 3 exons. NCBI's taxonomy places the organism in Eukaryota, Viridiplantae, Streptophyta, Magnoliopsida, Fagales, Betulaceae.